RNAcentral lists this ribosomal RNA (440 nucleotides) under uncultured bacterium. Its description in RNAcentral is "partial 16S ribosomal RNA". It matches the Rfam family "Bacterial small subunit ribosomal RNA", at positions 338 to 795 of the family's 1533-position model. The record is from RNAcentral.
CCUACGGGGGACAGCAGUGGGGGAUAUUGCACAAUGGGGGGAACCCUGAUGCAGCGACGCCGCGUGGGUGAAGAAGGGCCUCGGCGCGUAAAGCCCUGUCAGCAGGGAAGAAAAUGACGGUACCUGAAGAAGAAGCCCCGGCUAACGACGUGCCAGCAGCCGCGGUAAUACGGAGGGGGCAAGCGUUAUCCGGAUUUACUGGGUGUAAAGGGGGCGCAGACGGCGAUGCAAGCCAGGAGGGAAAUCCAUGGGCUUAACCCGUGAACUGCUUUUGAAACUGGAGGGCUUGAGUGAAGGAGAGGCAGGCGGAAUUCCCGGUGUAGCGGUGAAAUGCGUAGAGAUCGGGAGGAACACCAGUGGCGAAGGCGGCCUGCUGGGCUUUAACUGACGCUGACGCACGAAAGCGUGGGUAGCAAACCGGAUUCGAUACCCGUGUAGUC